CUUUAAGACUUGUGGACUUCAACUCCCAGAAUUCCUCUUCCAGUCAGCUCAGGAAUUCUGGGAGUUGAAGUCCACGAGUCUUAAACUGGCCAAGUAUGAAGGCCCUUGGUUUAGGGCAUAUAGGACGGGGGGCAAUGAAGCACACAUUUCCCCCUCCCCCUUCCCCCCAAUUAUUAGAUCCAUGGGACAGAGACCUGGGAGGAAAGCAGCCAGCCAUCAUGAAGUUCAGGAGUGUUACAGUUUAAGCAUGAAGAAAAGAUAAGAUAAGAUAAGAUAAAAUACUUGAAAAGACAAAAGAAAGAGAGGUAAAAUAAUCCAUCUGUAUAACAAAUGUCAGGGAAUUGAUAUGCAGCAAGUUGCCAUUGUCAAAGCUGAAAAUAUUCAAGUGCAGAACAAGUCAGCACAGAGACACACAGAGAGAGAGAGAAUCCAGGAGAUGGCAGCAUUAACUUGCUGACCAUGAUUGAUAUUUCCCAGAGAGGAAGAAAACAUAGAGCUAAGAAGGACAGAAUUGUAUGUUUGAAUCCACCCUGUAAGGAAGAAGGGAAGCCUCUCCUUUCGGUAAAUCUGGCUUCGUGCAAUUCAUGCUACGGAAUUCAGCAUGUAGGGCAGUUACAGGAGCCACCGAGGUUGCAGAAAGACCGAACCAAUAUAAAAAGGGAUGGAGUGAUUUGGUCGUCCAUCUAUGCUUCCAGCAGAAUGAAGACUUUAGCGGGUUGGCAUGUUUUUAAAUACUACAAAGUGAGGACAGCAUCUCUGGAUACUUCUCCUGUGG
Non-coding RNA from Notechis scutatus (mainland tiger snake), 775 nucleotides. Lineage: Eukaryota; Metazoa; Chordata; Lepidosauria; Squamata; Elapidae. The record is from RefSeq and is a predicted model, not a curated record.